AAUGGCUGUUUUUAUUUUGUUUUUUUUUAAUUUUUUUUAUUUUAUUAAAGUUUUAUGUAAUAUUUAGGAUUUUAUAAUUAAUGCAAUUUAAAUUUGAAAUAAAUUGUGUUAUUUAAAUUUGAGCAAUUAAAUUUAAAUGAAAAACAUAAAAUCAAAACUAAUAUUAUCAAGUAGGCUAUCAAGGAACCCCAAUGCAGCACUACCUACUUAAUAACACAAACACUAUCAAGUAGGCUAUCA
Molecule: long non-coding RNA, 240 nt
Filed under: Salvia miltiorrhiza (redroot sage)
Lineage: Eukaryota; Viridiplantae; Streptophyta; Magnoliopsida; Lamiales; Lamiaceae
Description: long non-coding RNA (SMIL_LNC009109)
Source: RNAcentral